RNAcentral lists this ribosomal RNA (465 nucleotides) under uncultured bacterium. RNAcentral's name for it is "bacterial SSU rRNA". It matches the Rfam family "Bacterial small subunit ribosomal RNA", at positions 338 to 795 of the family's 1533-position model. The record is from RNAcentral.
CCUACGGGGGGCAGCAGUGGGGAAUAUUGCACAAUGGGCGCAAGCCUGAUGCAGCCAUGCCGCGUGUAUGAAGAAGGCCUUCGGGUUGUAAAGUACUUUCAGCGGGGAGGAAGGCGAUAAGGUUAAUAACCUUGUCGAUUGACGUUACCUGCAGAAGAAGCACCGGCUAACUCCGUGCCAGCAGCCGCGGUAAUACGGAGGGUGCAAGCGUUAAUCGGAAUUACUGGGCGUAAAGCGCACGCAGGCGGUCUGUCAAGUCGGAUGUGAAAUCCCCGGGCUCAACCUGGGAACUGCAUUCGAAACUGGCAGGCUAGAGUCUUGUAGAGGGGGGUAGAAUUCCAGGUGUAGCGGUGAAAUGCGUAGAGAUCUGGAGGAAUACCGGUGGCGAAGGCGGCCCCCUGGACAAAGACUGACGCUCAGAUGCGAAAGCGUGGGGAGCAAACAGGAUUAGAUACCCGGGUAGUC